AGCCCAGCCACUAUGGAAGUCAGAUUACACUUACAGACUACCCCGGGACCAGCUUCAGAUGAAUCCAUGUUCUCUGUCUACAGGUUCAAGUCCCUGUCCUGCUUUCACUCCCCAAGAGGCCUUCCUCAUCAGAUGCAUCUCAAGGCCUGUUCUGAUUGGCAGUGGGAAGCUCGGCUGGAGCUCUUCGGCUCUUCACUGUUCCUUUGGAAUUUACUUUGGUGGCUGAGAAAGCCCUUGGAAAGGUCAUUCCAUGGAUUAGGAGGAGAGCCGACUGCACAGCAUUACUCCGAGAACCUGUUGUGCUAGGCACUAGGGGGUCGGAGACAAAACCAGAUAGGAAAGAAAACAGGUUCUGCCUCUGCCCUGGCUCAGCCACCCCACCACACAUUUUUAUUAAAUUUUAUCCAUGCAUAUGUGAAGAAA
This is a long non-coding RNA of Mastomys coucha (southern multimammate mouse), 423 nucleotides long. RefSeq lists it as uncharacterized. Lineage: Eukaryota; Metazoa; Chordata; Mammalia; Rodentia; Muridae. The transcript is spliced from 2 exons. The record is from RefSeq and is a predicted model, not a curated record.